AGAGCGAACGCUGGCGGCAGGCCUAAUACAUGCAAGUCGAACGCACCUUCGGGUGAGUGGCGGACGGGUGAGUAACACGUGGGAACGUGCCCUUUGGUUCGGAAUAAUCCGGGGAAACCUGGCCUAAUACCGGAUGUGCCCUUCGGGGGAAAGAUUUAUCGCCAUUGGAGCGGCCCGCGUCUGAUUAGCUAGUUGGUGAGGUAAAGGCUCACCAAGGCUACGAUCAGUAGCUGGUCUGAGAGGAUGAUCAGCCACACUGGGACUGAGACACGGCCCAGACUCCUACGGGAGGCAGCAGUAGGGAAUCUUGCGCAAUGGGCGAAAGCCUGACGCAGCCAUGCCGCGUGAAUGAUGAAGGUCUUAGGAUUGUAAAAUUCUUUCAGCGGGGAAGAUAAUGACUGUACCCGCAGAAGAAGCUCCGGCUAACUUCGUGCCAGCAGCCGC
RNAcentral lists this ribosomal RNA (444 nucleotides) under uncultured bacterium. RNAcentral describes it as "SSU rRNA". It matches the Rfam family "Bacterial small subunit ribosomal RNA", at positions 26 to 518 of the family's 1533-position model. The record is from RNAcentral.